Molecule: ribosomal RNA, 418 nt
Filed under: uncultured bacterium
Lineage: Bacteria
Description: bacterial SSU rRNA
Rfam family: Bacterial small subunit ribosomal RNA
Source: RNAcentral
UGGGGAAUAUUGGGCAAUGGGCGCAAGCCUGACCCAGCAACGCCGCGUGAAGGAAGAAGGCUUUCGGGUUGUAAACUUCUUUUAAGAGGGAAGAGCAGAAGACGGUACCUCUUGAAUAAGCCACGGCUAACUACGUGCCAGCAGCCGCGGUAAUACGUAGGUGGCAAGCGUUGUCCGGAUUUACUGGGUGUAAAGGGCGUGCAGCCGGGAAGACAAGUCAGAUGUGAAAUCCCGCGGCUUAACCGCGGAACUGCAUUUGAAACUGUAUUUCUUGAGUACCGGAGAGGUCAUCGGAAUUCCUUGUGUAGCGGUGAAAUGCGUAGAUAUAAGGAAGAACACCAGUGGCGAAGGCGGAUGACUGGACGGCAACUGACGGUGAGGCGCGAAAGCGUGGGGAAGCAAACAGGAUUAGAUACCC